Thozetella sp. PMI_491 is the source of this 84-nucleotide non-coding RNA. Lineage: Eukaryota; Fungi; Ascomycota; Sordariomycetes; Chaetosphaeriales; Chaetosphaeriaceae. The record is from the annotation of a GenBank genome assembly.
GACUUCGUGGCCAAGUUGGCUAAGGCGUACGGCUGUUAAGCAAAUGGUACCGUAAGAUCGUGAGUUCGAGCCUCACCGAGGUCG